This is a long non-coding RNA of Notothenia coriiceps (black rockcod), 694 nucleotides long. RefSeq lists it as uncharacterized. The transcript is spliced from 2 exons. The record is from RefSeq and is a predicted model, not a curated record. Lineage: Eukaryota; Metazoa; Chordata; Actinopteri; Perciformes; Nototheniidae.
CCAGGAUGAAAAGCAGCGCACCACCUCGGAGACCUCGAUGACCCUGGAGGAGAAGUUCCUGUUGGACAGUUCAGCGGAGGUCCAGGUGAUGAAGGGAAACAGAGAGUACGUCCUCAGCUUCAGAGACAUGUACCAGAGGAACCUGAAGCAGAACACCAAGAGGAGGGUCCGGCGCCGGCCUCGCCUCGCCACCCAGGCCCCGCUGCAGGAGGUCAGGGGGGACCAGUAUAUACCUGCCAGUAUAUACCUGCCAGUAUAGACCUGCCAGUAUAGACCUGCCAGUAUAUACCUGCCAGUAUAUACCUCCACGACUUCUGUAGUCCUAUUCAGCCACUCGGUAACAACCAUCGUUUCUCAGACACGUACUCUUCAGGAAUCACCAGUGGGGUCACUGCUGAUGGAUUUAAUGUCCUAGAACAAAACGUGAUCCGUCUCUUCAAUGUGUCUCAACCACAGACCUUAUUUCAGAUAUUUUCCUAAACCCUAUGGAGAGAUCCCAUUGGCUCUGAGCCGAGAGAACAGGAAGCGGUGAAGUGCUGACUCACUUCCUGAUUCACCACUCUAUAUCCCCGCCUCCUCAACGCGCCACUGGUGGACGAGGCGUCGUGUCGCAGGAAACCAACAUCUUCCAGAGGGUCCUGGUCCCCUGGAGCCACCAGCGCCAACACCAACAAAUAUAUUCCUUUAGUUCAUU